This 263-nucleotide unclassified non-coding RNA is filed under the name plant metagenome. RNAcentral describes it as "partial contains small subunit ribosomal RNA, internal transcribed spacer 1, and 5.8S ribosomal RNA". The record is from RNAcentral.
UAUCCGUAGGUGAACCUGCGGAAGGAUCAUUAUUGUAUAACCGAGGUGCGAGGGCUGUCGCUGACCCGAAAGGUCGUGCACGCCCGAGUGCCCUCACACACAUCCACCUCACCCCUAUGUGCACCACCGCGUGGGUCCCCCUUUGGCUUGUUCGGAGGGGGGCUUACGCUUUCACACAAACUUUGUAUGCAGUGUAGAAUGUAUUUUUUGUUUUUGCGAUCACGCAAUCAAUACAACUUUCAACAACGGAUCUCUUGGCUCUC